Long non-coding RNA from Gadus macrocephalus (Pacific cod), 5243 nucleotides. RefSeq lists it as uncharacterized. The transcript is spliced from 2 exons. NCBI's taxonomy places the organism in Eukaryota, Metazoa, Chordata, Actinopteri, Gadiformes, Gadidae. The record is from RefSeq and is a predicted model, not a curated record.
CUGCGCACACGUGUGCUCCAAGAGAAAUUGAUUUGCUUCUCGCCAAUAAAGAUCCCUAUGCAUACAAACACACACGCACGCACACACACACACACACACACACACACACACACACACACACACACACACACACACACACACACACACACACACACACACACACACACACACACAGGGUUUGAUCGGCCACAAGCCCCCCCAAGCACCACCCCUCCUGUUAAUGUGAUUAGUAAUGAGGUCUGAAACCUUGGCAUGUCUUCGCAAAGAGCAACAAAAUGACAAGCAGGUUAAAUUAUGAAAGGUGUCAGAGCCUCAUGAAGGAAACUCACAGUAUCGCUUGUGAGCUGGCCACUGCAACCUUCCUGAAAGCUGGCGUGUCGGUUAAUUAGUUGAGACUGAUGUGUUCCCUCAAGCUACAUGAGCUAAUUCAACGUAAACAUGUUGUUUGUUUAAAACGACACUAACAUUCAUCGAAACAAGUAUAUAAAGGAAACCAGAUUUGCAGACUAAUAAUGGUAUCCUUAUCUUGGUAUGAUAAUUUCAAGUAUGAUCCAGUUAGCAUUUUUAUCUCCCAUUGAAUCCUAUACACUUAUAACAUGGCAGAUAUACACACAUGAUGUAAACACAAGAAAUGAUUGCACCGCAAUCAAUCUCUUGGGGGCUCUGGGGGCUUUUGACGAUGGGGUCAAUGCCAGGGACAGAAGGGCAGUGGGGGUGGGGGUGGGCCAGGGAGAGGUUAAAGGUCACCGUUACAUCGCUAACCUGGGGGAAACCACAUAAUACAUUGUUAACCUCACCCUUAUCACACUGUGCCCCCUGGCCGACACGCACUAAAGAGAAGUAAUGGGAGGGAGGGUGUGUCCUCUAAAUACUGUAGUCUGCUGUCGGCUGCUCGUGGCUGUACAUCUCCCUCCAGUGAUACUGCUUGUAGCAACGUGAUAUAGCAAAACAACAACAGCAGCAGUUGCAGCAGCAGCAGCCAUCUUGGCUCUAGGAUCUGUCUCUCUCUUUUAUCUUUCUGUCCCUGCGGGUCAGGGGGUUUCUGGUGUAGGGUUAUAGAGAAGCUGUAAGAGUGAUGAAUGAGCAAUCCUGCUGAGAAAAUCCUUACUCACCCCCUCUGCACUCCCCCCCUCCUCCACCUCCCCCAGCCCCCGUUAGACCUCUGCAAAAGCUGUGAUGAUGGCUGGGAAAGAUAAUUAAAUCUGCAUACAUAUAGGCAGAUAAACUAUGUUACAUCCCAAGAUGUUAAAUUGUUUUGCAAUUGAUUGGCAUCAAAUAUGUUUUCCUUGACCACACCGGUUCUAAAUGUUAAAUAUAUAUAUUGAGAUAUGCUUAUCCAUGCAUUUUAUUCUCAGCAACAACUUUUCAACCAUUUUCAAAAGCCUAUUGCACAAGAUUUUGCUUUUGUGAGAGGAAGUGGUUAUCUGCAAGACACAGUUCAUAGCUAGCAGGAAGAGAGAGAGCAAGGAGGAGAGUGAGCGAGCGAGAGAGGGGAGGGAGAAAGGGGGAGGGUGUUUGUGUGGCUCCACUGAGAGCUUGCAGGCUGAUAACACACUCAACCACAGAUGGUUGGGCAAGGUUGCAAGAAAGUGGGAGAAUAAAGUGAGUGUAAAGAGAGUGACAGACCGAGAGAAGAGAGUGGGAGAGAGAGUGAAAAUGAGAUAGAGCAAAAGAGAAGGCUGAACGAGAGGCAUCUGCAGCCACAGCAAAGAAGAAGAAGAGAAGAGGACGAGGAAGCGAAUGAGGAAGAGAGAGACGGAGAGGGACUCACAGAAUCCUAACCGAGCCUUCAGCACCAUCUACUGUACUCUCCUCGAUGACGGAUAUACCACCACUCUCACACACAAGAGCAGCCUGACAGAGUCGCUGUCUGGUCUACAACCUGGACUGAGCCACGUGACCAUGGGUUUCACCUGCUGAUCCCUACAAAGACCCGAGGAGCCGGUCGGAAGCAAGAGCGCACUGUGUCUGUGUUGAUUGGGUGGUUGAGUCUCUGUUUGUUUGGUGCCUCAUGAGUGUGUAUGUGUGUGCAUGUUUGUCUGUGUUUUUUUUCUUUGAACUUUGCAGGCAUGACAGCAGGUGCAUGUAUGCGUUGGAUUUGGCUCACAGUCAGCGCGUUAACCAGUGUUAGAGUGCGCACCUUCUGUGGUCCGCAUUGGACGUGUGCACGCGUCUGUGGCACGUUUCCGAGCCGGUGCGUUCGGCGACGCCAGCCGCCAGAGCUCGUAUACGCCUCGCAGGAGGAAGUGACACAUCUGUGCUCGCUCUCGGAUUUCCUGGUGCCUCUCCGGUGGCACGCCGAGCCCUGAAUCGGAGCCUCCCUCACCCAGCUCACCCUAUCCUCAACACGGCCCCCGCGGCCACGGGACCCUGCUCCAGCCUAGUGGAUCACCCGCCGAGGGCCCUGCCUCCCCGCUCCUUCUCUUCGGGUGCCAGACCCUGAGAUGCCUUCAGAUCCUGGCUCUAACGCCGCCGCACCGCCAGUCAAACCAGUGCCUCGGGCUCGAGAGGGAAGACACUGAAGAGGAUAAACAACACACUCGAAGGACUUCAAGGUCGGUUGGUAUUAGUCCCGGGCCCGACGGGGCUGCCGUCCGCCUCCUCCAUGACCGUCAACACGUCGCCCGGCCCUUCCAUGGCGAGCAGUAACAGCAUGAGCAGCGGCUACUGCAGCCUCGACGAGGAGGGCGAGGACUACACUUUCUUCACUGCCAAGACCUCCUUCUUCCAGCAGCCCAACAAGACGGCCAAGGUAUGGCAGCCCUGUUCGAGGUAGAACCUGGUGUAGGUUCGAGGAAGGGGGGGGGGGUUCAGGAGGCAGGAUAGAGAGGAAAGUACAAUGAAUCGAUUAUCUGUCCCAUACUGUGGGUGGCUUGCGAGCAGUUCCGUGUCACCUUUCAAAAGGGGAAGUUGCGAUAGGAAGUUACGAUAUGAGUAGUAUUGUGAGGGUUGCUCAUGUCCUUCGCAUCUUGUGUUACAACAUCUAUGAACUUUGCCCUUUCAGCAACGGCUUGUCACCGUUCAAUUCACCGUUCAAUGGCAUUGCAAUAGACUUUGAAUGGAAGGUAGUUAUCAGAGGAAGGAAUCAGAAUAUAGGUCAUAUCUUUGUUAGCCCAAAGGCAUUUUUGAGCCGUGAAAUGCCACCAUUGCAACCUUGAAACUGCCGGAGGGACAGGUUUUCUAGAUUGCGUGGGAAAGGUUUCCGUAGGAACAAGGCACCAGGCGUCGAGACGGAGAGUGCUGCUCGUUGGCCUACCGCCGAACUGCAGCUGAAGAUCUUUCAUCCGUUACCAUAGUAACAGAUAAAACGGCUAGUAGAAAGGCCUAUGGCAACUCAUCUUCAAAAAAUAACAUUCAAACACAACGUGAUCUCAAAGCACUAUGUGCUCCCACACACACACACACACCCCCACACACACACAGACACACACACACACACACACACACACACACACACACACACACACACACACACACACACACACACACACACACACACACACACACACACACACACAAACACACAGACGACCCCCUCCCCUCCCUCCACAUCCAAACUGACACAAACAAACACACAAACACACAUACACAUAAAACUAGAUGCUUCUUUGAAUAUUUAGUAUACAAUGGUUGUAUGUUAUUUGUCCAUUUGGUGGUGAUAUCCAUUUUUCUGCAAUGUAAAAUAACUUUCCCCAUUCUGGUCUGUGGAAAGGAGAGGUGUUAGAAACAAAUUGUGUAAUGGCUCAGAGAGGAAGUGUUGUUGGGCGCAGAGCAAGUGAGUGUGCGUGUGGGGGGCAGGAUAAUGGUGGGUCUGUGUGUUUGAAUCUCUAUUGCCAUCCUGCUCUGAACAUCUGGUACCUGCAUUCACUUUAAGACACCUAUUAAAACGCCUGCUAAAUGACCCGAGCGUAGUUGUCAUUGUGUCUCAUUGGGAGAGAGCGUCACGGUUUAAUAAUUGACUGGCUGUGCGUUUCAGAUGUAGAGUUUGGGUUCCCGGGCCGUCUAGGGGUUAAUCGGACCAGUCACCGGAGGCUCUUCUUGAUGACGCAGCUCUGCUCAGAAAUCUGUAUUCAAACCCGGCCCAGCUCGGGCCUGGGCGGCCUUAUUUGAAGAACCAUUAUCUUAAAAGUAUAAAACAGGGAUCCGAUAAAGGGUGCCAUAAACGUUCACAAUAAAAAAAUGUGAACGUUUAAAAUGACAGCACACCAAGGUUUUUUCUUUCUCAAACUAUAUUCGCAGCAGGUGUAGUAGGUUGAGCAUUGAGUAAGCGCCUCUGUCUGCUGACCCAGGUCUUGCUGCUAGCAUACGGAAACACUGGCUAACACACUGUGAGAUAUUCAUGCUCAUCAGAAUGCCGACAGGGCGGUCAAGAUCCUCCUCGCCUUAUUGAUUAUGAACAGAGCUGAACUUUUUUCCCCAGAUGGGAAAAGCAAACUUAAGCGUGUGCGUGUCUUUCUGUUUUGCGAGUCAAACGGGUAGUUCAUUUGAAUUCCUACGACUAAUGGCACUCAAUCGUAAUCGUCUGUGUGUGUGUGUGUGUGUGUGUGUGUGUGUGUGUGUGUGUGUGUGUGUGUGUGUGUGUGUGUGUGUGUGUGUGUGUGUGUGUCUGUCUGUCUGUCUGUCUGUCUGUCUGUCUGUCUGUCUGUGUGUGUGUGUGUGUGUGUGUGUGUGUGUGUGUGUGUGUGUGUGUGUGUGUGUGUGUGUGUGUGUGUGUGUGUGUGUGUGUGUGUGUGUGUGUGUGUGUGUGUGUGUGUGUGUGUGUGUGUGUGUGUGUGUUUUGGUGUUUGUGUUGUUCACCCUCUAAUUGUUUAAAUCACUGAUACUAGUUUUCAUUGUACGGUUGAAUGAUCUAUGGUACAUGCAUUCUUUCAGUAAAAUGAAUUCCACCAGUCCGUGUUUGUGCUUGAGAGCAUCUGUGUAAAGAAUGGAUAGCCAAUACUGGUAAAUAUCAUGCUUCAAUAGGGAGGAAACAAUCUGUCACAGAAUUUCCUUUCCAUUCCCCUUUUCAUGUUUCUCUCUCUUUCUCCCCCCUCUCUUAUUCACAUCUGCUUGUUUGCAGACACAUGACACGCACAAGCACUCAUGCAUGCACACACACACGCACACACACACACACACACACACACACACACACACACACACACACACACACACACACACACACACACACACACACACACACACACACACACACACACACACACACACACACACACACACACACACACACACACACACACACA